GUGUGCGUAAUUUAAAUAAAAUAUCAAGUCGUGACCUUGAACAUAGAUAUGUCUCUCGCACACC
This 64-nucleotide transfer RNA is filed under the name Rhinophis lineatus. RNAcentral describes it as "tRNA-His". The record is from RNAcentral. Lineage: Eukaryota; Metazoa; Chordata; Lepidosauria; Squamata; Uropeltidae.